CAUUACUUCACACUCCCUCAGCUCAAAUCCAGCGACGACUCCAUCAUACCACAAGCAGCAACAUGAGAGCCAAGACCAUGAAGGCUGCGACGGCGACGACGUGCAUGCCGCGGCUCGUCCGCGGAGGCGGCUGCCGCGCGUCCACAGCGCGCCCAGCGGCGUCAGUCUCGCUGCUCGAGCGCAUCCGCGACGUCGUGCUCCGGCUCAUCAUGCUCUCCGCCGUGUCCCGGGCCUCCGUGCAGCGCACCAGCAGC
Molecule: long non-coding RNA, 254 nt
Filed under: Setaria viridis
Lineage: Eukaryota; Viridiplantae; Streptophyta; Magnoliopsida; Poales; Poaceae
Description: long non-coding RNA (SVIR_LNC010775)
Source: RNAcentral